CUCCAGCGGAUGAACCUCCACAACGCCAUCUGAAGUCCACUAUUGGUCGACCCUCUAUCGAAUUCCUCAUGAAAACAGACUUCUCCAACAGAAAGUCUCCAUCCGAGCUUCUACAGCAGAUGACUUCCGCCUGCAGCAUCAGCACUCUAGGCACCCGACAAUAGUGGACUCAUCAGCAACCUCAAAAACAUCCGAGCCUCUCUUAGAUUAUAGAGAUAUAGAGCCAUUCCGCUCCAUCAGAUGUCCCAGCCAAGCUUUAGCCAUCAGGCCUGAACUCUCUGGCAAGUCAUGACAAUGGCCACUACCUCACUCCACUCUCUGUAAUGGAUUCCACGUGGCUCCACCACUCUCUGACAAGUCAUGAUAAUGGACACCACUCCACUCUCCAUAACAAACUCCACGUGGCCCUGAACGGCCCCCUGAUGUCACUACUCUCCGUAACAAACUCCGCGUGGUCCUGAACAGCCCACUACCAGGUGAUUACAGAUGUCGCUGUCAAUCAGUUAUGCUCUCUGUCUAUAAAAAGGGACCCCCAGAUAUGUUCUUCUCUAAGAUCUAAACUCUAUCUCGAAACUCUACUAAAAUCCCAUUCGAGUGCUCCAUUUCUGUUGAGGCAGAGUACUGACUUGAGCAUCGG
Molecule: long non-coding RNA, 637 nt
Filed under: Elaeis guineensis (African oil palm)
Lineage: Eukaryota; Viridiplantae; Streptophyta; Magnoliopsida; Arecales; Arecaceae
Description: long non-coding RNA (EGUI_LNC065545)
Source: RNAcentral